CCUACGGGAGGCAGCAGCAAGGGAUAUUGCGCAAUGGGCGAAAGCCUGACGCAGCGACGCCGCGUGAGGGAUGAAGGCCUUCGGGUCGUAAACCUCUUUUCUUGGUGAAGAGUAAGGACGGUAAUCAAGGAAUAAGCCCCGGCUAACUACGUGCCAGCAGCCGCGGUAAUACGUAGGGGGCGAGCGUUAUCCGGAUUCACUGGGCGUAAAGAGCGUGUAGGCGGCUUCCAAAGUUGGCAGUGAAAGGUCCUGGCUUAACUGGGAUAUGCCUGCCAAUACUGGGGAGCUAGAGGGCAGCAGAGGAAAGUGGAACUCGCGGUGUAGCGGUGAAAUGUGUAGAUAUCGCGAGGAACACCAGUGGCGAAGGCGGCUUUCUGGGCUGUUCCUGACGCUGAGACGCGAAAGCGUGGGGAGUGAAGCGGAUUAGAUACCCGCGUAAUCCACGCCUUAAACGGUGGAUACUAGGUAUGGGGGGUAUCGACCCUCUCCGUGCCGAAGCUAACGCCUUAAGUAUCCCGCCUGGGGACUACGGCCGCAAGGCUAAAACUCAAAGGAAUUGACGG
Molecule: ribosomal RNA, 563 nt
Filed under: uncultured bacterium
Lineage: Bacteria
Description: bacterial SSU rRNA
Rfam family: Bacterial small subunit ribosomal RNA
Source: RNAcentral